RNAcentral lists this long non-coding RNA (2596 nucleotides) under Panax ginseng (ginseng). RNAcentral's name for it is "long non-coding RNA (PGIN_LNC017933)". Lineage: Eukaryota; Viridiplantae; Streptophyta; Magnoliopsida; Apiales; Araliaceae. The record is from RNAcentral.
UCCACCACAAGCUCACCCAAAAGGUCAUGACUUGAAGGUAUUAUUGGUAGUAACUUAUUUCUUUAUAUGUAGAUAAAUUUUUCCCCUAUCUUUCGAUGUGGGACUGGGGUGUUAGACCCCCUGCAGAUGACAUUUUAUAGGUGAAAGGAACAAUAGCCCACUUCAAAAAUUUCUAAUUUACAAUUCAUAUACUCAAUUGCAACCAAACUUUAACAUGCAAUAGACAUAUUAUUUUUUAAAACAAACAACUUAGCUAACUUGGACAUUUUACACAGGUUUUACAAGACCUCAAAACUGCCUUGUUGUGGCAAUUUUUUUUUAACAGAGCCCAACACCUUCAAUUCUUGCAAUUUUACUUUUAAACUUGUUUUCGCUUACCCAAACAACUUGAAUCACUUCAUAUAAUACAUAUAUAGGCUUCUUUGUUCACAAUAUUAACAAAUUUUCACUUUUAAAGCUUGAUAGCCUCUAAGAGGCAUAACAUCAAACAUGCUUUGUGCAUUAUUUUUAAGAAACAGAAUUCACAAGUGUUGGAGCAUGGAUUAGCCCAAAUUUCUCCAUCCUUAUAACUCCAUAAAGCAUAUAUCUCCAUCUUCAUAAAAUACUACAGCCAAACAUAUCAGUUAUAUUAAUAUUUACUAUUUACAUAUGUAUUUACUCAAUUUCGUAUAAAUAUAUAGAAAUACAUGAAUUACCUCCAUGAUUACUAUUCUUAUUUAAAUUCUUAUUAUCAGUUUGAUGUGUACUGAAUUCAAUCUUCUUUUGCCGAGAAUGAGCUUUAAUCUCUUCCCAAUUUAGCUUGGAUCUUCGAGCUAGAUUUUCCCCCACCCGUGACCCGACCAAGAGAAUUUGACGAAGGGUUGAAAGUAUAAAAGCUUAAUAAUAGAUAGAGAAGGAAUUUUUGGAACGGAUGGGCUGAUAUUGGAGAACUUAAAAUGACUUGAUUUAGUGGGUGGGUGUUUAGUAUAUUCAUAUUGUGCCACCUCCUUUAAAUAACUCAGCAACAAUAGUGGAGGUUAAAUUAGCAUGAUCAUGCCUUAUCCUGUAAUACAUAUAAAUAUUAAAUAUUACAUACACACUAAACCUUUCUAUUACACAUAUAUGCACGGUUCAAGAGCAUUACUCUUAAAGGGCAUUACUUUGUUAAAUAACAUACCUAUUUAAAUGCCAUUACUUUUAAUUUCUCUCUCACUCACUUGCCCAAGCUCUGAGACUUGCAACUCCAAAAAUUCCUCUCAAAUUCAAUACAAUCACUCCUUGCCCAAUUCCACCGCUCUGAAAUUCUCUCCUCCAAACUCAUCAUCCCCUUCACCGUACGGCCUCAUUUCUCGUAUCCCACCUCCGAUCUGAAACUCCUCCUCCAAACUCUCCAUCGACCCAUCUUCCCCGUUAGCAAACACGGCCAGAUCUUGAAAUAUCUCGGUAGACCCUUAACUAAAUUUUAAUUUCAUUAAGAAUUAACUAGAAUUCAAUUUCAUUUUGUGAUUCAAUUUGGGAAUUUUCGCAUUUGGGAAUUAAUCCUAAUUUAGUUUAUUUAUUUAUUUAAUUUUUUGUUUUUGUGGUGGACUGUGAACUACAUUACUACGAUGCUUGUUUAUGGGUUGAUUUUUUGGUUUAUCUAGUCGUUUGGUCACCUUUUUUUUAGAAUUAGAAUUUCUGGAGUAAUUGUGAAACAAUUCUCAGAAUGAAUUAGAAUGAUUAAAGUUGUUGUUUUAUGUCCUAAUAAUGCAUACUGUGUGUGAGAUGGUCAAUAAUUUUGCUAGUUACAGUGUCUGUAUUAAUUAUGUUUAUGUUCUUGUAUUUAUUAAAUUAUUCUUUUUCAUAGAACAGAGUUGUAACUUGUAAUUUCCUCAUACGGCUCAAUAGGUUGAAGAGUCAGUCUCCGUGGAGCCCACUACAGAUCGAUUCAAUGGGUGAACUCAGAUUCGAGUUAGGCCAGUACAACCCAUGCAAAUUCAUAUGGGAAAUUGUAGCCGCCAUUGUUUACCCCAAAAAGCUUUCCAAAAGCUUUCCAUUGUUGUUCUUCUUCUUCUCUGUGAUUUUACUAAAUUCCAUGAGUAAGUUGUCUUCAGAAAGAAAUUUAGGAGGAAGCCAAAACUCUCCGUCAUCCAAAUCCUCUGCCAUCUGAAGAAAUCACGGGAAGUAAAUAUAAACACAAAGAAUUAAAAAUAAAAUAUGAUAUACAGUUAAAAGUAAAAGCUUUGAUUACCAUGUGUGAUGGGGUAAUUGCUGCUUCUUUAAGGUUGAAUUAUAAUUAUUAUUAACCCCUACUACCUUUGCUUUAAUCAGGCCUAGGAAGAAGAUAGUGAUGAGGAGGAAGAGAAGAAGAACACAGUGGUGCAGAGAGUUGGUUUAAAGAUUUUAGAGUGAUGAGAGAGCAAAAUCGAGGGAGGCAGAGAGUGUAUAUAUAAAGUGUUUUCCUUAAAAGAGAAGGGAGGGAACCCUAGGUUGAUGAAUUUUUUAUGUCACGCUCCAUAAUUGAAUGUGAGAAAGGCGCCAUUUUUGCACUAUUUUUAUAAUUAUUUUGUGGAUGCACUAAUCUUGUAAUUACUUUUUAAUUAUUGUAUAGUAGUGUAAAGAACUCAUUUCAAAGUCA